This is a long non-coding RNA of Chroicocephalus ridibundus (black-headed gull), 2842 nucleotides long. RefSeq lists it as uncharacterized. The transcript is spliced from 4 exons. The record is from RefSeq and is a predicted model, not a curated record. Lineage: Eukaryota; Metazoa; Chordata; Aves; Charadriiformes; Laridae.
UUCAUUUUGGGGUGUAAAAAAAGCUCUUCAGAAGAAAACUGAAAUGUCCUGAGUCAUCCAGUGAGAGCUGACACUAGCUCCUCUUUUCAAAGUCUUAUUAUCUCUGCCUCUGAGCUUCAAAACUAUAGCUACUUUCAACUAUGAUGUCUCAGCUGACAGGGUCCAGAACUGUGAUCUUGUCAACAGAGCCCAGAAUGGAAGAAAUCUUCCUUAUGCGGUCUGUCCUCUUUGGGGGAACCCUGCAAAAUGGACUUCUUCCUAGUUUGUAGAAGGAGCAUUUUUAAGGGAUUAAAAAUUAUUCAGCUUCCACUUGGCAUCUGAAUUUUGAAUUCACAAGCUGGGUCGUUCUCUCCAUACCCACACACACAGGAGGGCCAUGCUCUGUGUAACGUACAAAAACAUGUGCAGAGAAUUUAAGGAUGGCCCUAUCUUCCCGUAUCAUCAACAUACAUACAUACAUAGAUGUCGUCAAAGAUGUUGUCUCAUCAUGAGAACAAGACACAAGAUGUAAGAUGAGCUGCUUGCAGUCGAAAAAAAUUACACUCUUCUGAAACUCCCACUACUGUACGAUCCAGAGUGGAAUGUCUUCAUGCAAGAUGCUCCGUUCUUUUCAGGCCUAAAAACUGGUAAUUAGAGACUCUGAGGAGCUGCAGUACCAGCAGCCCUUUGAGAAUGUACCGUUGCUAACCAUUUUGGACCAGCUGGUCACAGCCUUAUGAACAGUUGCUAGAAAAAUAUUAUCCUUUUUUAUUCCAAGGGCGUAAUUUGCUGUGUCAUCAUUGCACACCAAAGUCUAAAAAGUAGAAUGUGAUUCAGAGGGUUUAUGGAACACAAGCUGCCUUCUAAGAAGGCAAAAAUCUCUGCUGAAGAGCAGUAAUGCUCCCAAGUAUGACUGAUAAGCAUGUUUUGUCUUGAACUAAAUGGCAAAAUAUGGACCCUGCACCAAAGCUUUGCUCAGCAUGAGGCAAAAUUCACUGGUUUGUCUGGUUUAUGGUGAUGAAAUCAUUACAGUGGGAAGAAAGGAAAAGACUUGCAAAAUUUCUGAGUUAUUCUCUCUGGAUAGCUUGGAAGGAAGGUCUGGUGUCAUCGUGAUAUUUGCCUAAUAAAGACAAAAUGGUCAAUUCAGAUGAAUGAGUGUACUCUCAAAUAUGCACGUGCGCAAAUAUGCUCCCCCCCUCCAACCCUCCACACCAAAUGGGUAGCUUAUGUGUGAAAAUUACAUUGGGAGCCAGGAACUCAAGCUUAGCGCUACCUUAUGGAGUAAUCUGGGGAAAACCAGCUGAGUGAGAAGAAUCCUCUCCUGCAAAAUGGGAGAGAAGAUACCCUGAAAACGCUUCCUCCGCUCUGCUACAGCCCACAGCAGUGAGAGCCUGGCAGAAGCGGUGCUGCAAGGGGCAGCUCGUUUGUAUCUGUUAUGCUUUUAAAACAUAAGGCAUUGGGACCUCUCUCUGGAUUCAGUGGCCUGCCAGAGUAAGAUACUGGUCAAGGUUGCUGUGGGAGUGUAACUGAUGCGCCUCAUUAGAGCUUGAGAUUGUGGCAGCGGGAGCAUUUAAUCAGGAAAGGAAGCAACCAGAUUUUUUCAUUUUCAACUUACCAAGCCAUGGUGCUGCCCAGCUGCCCUGCAGAAAUCUCGCAUGUCUCCCAUGAACCAGGCAGCAGCAAAUGAGCCCAUUAGGUAGUUCGUCCUGCUCAGAUGACCAGCUGGGUAACAGAGAAUCCUGACAUUUUAAACAGAACUGACAAUUCAACAGUAACUUCUACAGCUGUGAGAGAGUUCAUUAUGUCAAGGGACUGCAUCUACAAUGCACAAUGGAAGUGAAUCUGGGCAGGAUUUGAAUAAAAAGGAGCUAAGCUGUGUGGAGGGACAACAUGGAAGAUCAAAUGAAGAGCUGAGGAUGCCUUUGUGUGAAUACGAAUGCAUGAAAAGAGACUGUGGAUGGAACUGAAUUUCACCCAGGGAAGCGGCAUCCCCAUGCACAAGCACUGUGGGCUAAGCUUCCCUGUCGGACUUGGGUUUUGCCAAAGUGCAGCACAGCAUGAGGAAGUUUCAGGCAGAGCUGUGGUGCAGAGAAGCAACUCCGGAGGCCAAAUAAACUCAGAUAGUAUUAGACACCUAGAAAGAGCACACGUUUAUUUUUUUGUUUUUUUUUUUUUUUUUCAUUUAAUGGAUCCUAGAAGACAAACUCUCUGUUCAAGAAAAUCUGUCAAAGUAGGUUUCAACCAUGCUGUGCUGGCAUCCUCAGAAAGUCCUUGCCUAGAUGUCAGUUCAUUGUUACUAUUAAAAAAGGUGGGCACACGGUAGUGGACUGCAGGACGCAAGCUCAAAACAGUAAUUCAAAACUAUAUGAUGAUGUGGAUUAAGCUACUGGGUGACUUGUACAGUACCCUGGUGUUGCAUGACCUAACCUAACGAGAGAUGUAUGCAAGCAAAACCUGCAGUCAGAGUCCUUAGAAGGCAAAGAGCACAUUAAACCACAUCAAGGCCUCUGUGAGCUACUUCUAAAAUGUUAACAAGCAGCUUGCUUAAAGAGCAGUGGCAAUGAUAAGAGAGACAGAGAUAGAGAACGUAAUUGGCUAAAAAUAAUUUUACUGCCAGAAUGCUCUUUUGAACUGCUUACUGUAGUUUCACAGCAAGUUUUUUUGCAAUUUCAGGCUGUAUUUAGCAAAGUUUCAUUUGAAACAAAAAAUGAAGAGGAGAUAUUAUCCCAUAUGUCUACUAAAUACUAGCUGACAAGAGGAAAAUAUGACUGGGCCAGCAGCAUUACCGGCUUUAGAUCUCUUGGAAAAACUUAGAAUGGAUGAAAUGUAAGGGAGGGUGCAAAAGGUGUCUGAUGGCGUGUUA